Molecule: non-coding RNA, 21 nt
Filed under: Caenorhabditis elegans
Lineage: Eukaryota; Metazoa; Nematoda; Chromadorea; Rhabditida; Rhabditidae
Source: RNAcentral
UGUUGUUUCUGAACUUAUUGU